GGGGAAUUUUCCGCAAUGGGCGCAAGCCUGACGGAGCAACGCCGCGUGAGGGAGGAAGGCCUGUGGGUCGUAAACCUCUUUUCUCCGGGAAGAAGUUCUGACGGUACCUGAGGAAUCAGCAUCGGCUAACUCCGUGCCAGCAGCCGCGGUAAGACGGAGGAUGCAAGCGUUAUCCGGAAUUAUUGGGCGUAAAGCGUCCGUAGGCGGUUGUACAAGUCUGAUGUUAAAGCCCACAGCUCAACUGUGGAUGGGCAUUGGAAACUGUGCGACUAGAGAGUGGUAGGGGUAGAGGGAAUUCCUAGUGUAGCGGUGAAAUGCGUAGAUAUUAGGAAGAACACCAGUGGCGAAGGCGCUCUACUGGGCCAUUACUGACGCUGAUGGACGAAAGCUAGGGGAGCGAAAGGGAUUAGAUACCCCUGUAGUC
This 424-nucleotide ribosomal RNA is filed under the name uncultured cyanobacterium. RNAcentral's name for it is "bacterial SSU rRNA". It matches the Rfam family "Bacterial small subunit ribosomal RNA", at positions 356 to 795 of the family's 1533-position model. Lineage: Bacteria; Bacillati; Cyanobacteriota. The record is from RNAcentral.